ACAAACUGGUCACAUGAGAACUUUAUAAAAUGAAAACAUGAUUACAAACUAUAAGUAAAACAACCCAAAUUAUUGAUUUCAGACAUGUAGCAUACACCUCAAUCAGGAAUGCUGUUAGGAUAUAAUACUAGGAAAAACAUAUAAAAUUACGGUGAGUUGCAGUGGAUUGAGUUGUCAAUGAGCCCUCUGCUAUUUACGGUGAUUUUGUUCAUCGCCAAUGUGAGUUGAUUAUGUUAAUUUUUUCAUAUAAAUUAGAAACUUGAUAGUCAAUUCUAUUUUUUUUUGUAUUUUAUUAUUUUAGUAGUUCACUCCUGAUGCUGCAAGGUACAACGUUAUUUGGUGGGUUCAGUGGUGCAUUGGGCAUCUGAUAGAUGACGACUUAUCUCAUUUUUCAAGAGAGCAAAGGUGAAUCAAUCUUCUUCUUGGGACAAAACUUAAACUUCUAUUUGACACGUUCUGCUGUGUAGAAGUGCAUGGAAAGAUGAUAAUGUGCUGACACUUUCUGGUUGUUUUCUACUGUAUUCUUGAAGUGCCUUGCUUUCUGUUUUUUGAAUGACUAAUUGUCAGAUUAUCGCAGUGCUUUCUGUUAAUACCUCGAGGUUCUCGUCUGUUCUUUUUACAUGAGUUGAAAGAUUCUAUUUUUUGUAAUUUAAUUUAAUACGCUGAUUAGUGUGAUUCCAGGUAGGCCUUAAACCAGGUGGAUUCUUUAUGUUGAAAGAGAACAUUGCGAGAAACGGACCAGAAAGGAUUGCCUGAGGAAUUGUUUACUGUGAAGAUGUAUGCUUUAACAUCUGUAGCACCAAAGAAAGUUCAUAAGACCCGAUCUAAGGUGCAAGCUAACAGACCCACCAUCAUUAAAUGAUUUGUUGCUCUGUUCUUCUAGUGUAGAAGCGCUCAGUUUUCGUGUGCUGCAUGCAUAUUGUUGUAUCCGAGAGUAAGAAAAUGCUUUUUCCUUGAUAAGAACAAUUGAUGGGUAAAUGAUAUAUACAUGAACAACUAAUUGAGUUUAUGUAAAUUGCCACUAUAAUAUGUUGACGCAUUUGUAUCAUUCACUGUGUUCGAGAGUGGACUUUAGCGAUCA
Hibiscus syriacus is the source of this 1081-nucleotide long non-coding RNA. RefSeq lists it as uncharacterized. The transcript is spliced from 2 exons. NCBI's taxonomy places the organism in Eukaryota, Viridiplantae, Streptophyta, Magnoliopsida, Malvales, Malvaceae. The record is from RefSeq and is a predicted model, not a curated record.